Molecule: ribosomal RNA, 443 nt
Filed under: uncultured bacterium
Lineage: Bacteria
Description: bacterial SSU rRNA
Rfam family: Bacterial small subunit ribosomal RNA
Source: RNAcentral
GUGAGGAAUAUUGCUCAAUGGGCGAAAGCCUGAAGCAGCGACGCCGCGUGAGGGAUGAAAUCCGUUAGGAUGUAAACCUCUUUUGCGAGGGAAGAAUGACCCGAUGAAUCGGGUAGGGACUGUACCUCGUGAAUAAGCACCGGCUAACUACGUGCCAGCAGCCGCGGUAAUACGUAGGGUGCGAGCGUUGUCCGGAAUUACUGGGUGUAAAGGGUCCGCAGGCGGGGAGAUAAGUCGACGGUGAAAUUCUGCAGCUCAACUGCAGACCUGCCGUUGAUACUGUCUCUCUUGAGUUCGAGAGAGGAUAAUGGAAUUCAUGGUGUAGCGGUGAAAUGCGUAGAUAUCAUGAAGAACACCGAUUGCGAAGGCAGUUAUCUGGCUCGACACUGACGCUCAGGGACGAAAGCGUGGGUAGCAAACAGGAUUAGAAACCCCAGUAGUCC